This 386-nucleotide long non-coding RNA is filed under the name Homo sapiens (human). RNAcentral describes it as "non-protein coding lnc-POTEM-2:30". Lineage: Eukaryota; Metazoa; Chordata; Mammalia; Primates; Hominidae. The record is from RNAcentral.
CUGCUCUUCGCUUAGAGAACUAGGAGAGGGGACCGCCAUCUGCUGCCAGCUGGAGCCAGGGCACUGGCUGUCUCCGGUUGGUGGUGGGGAUGGAGCGGUCGAAGGGUGGCCUGCAGUGGGAGCUUUUCCUGCCGGGCAGGAGGAAGAGUAGAAGGGAGAGGCACGGACGCAUGCUGGAGGCUGGAGCUUGCGCCACCGCAGCUCGCCUCGCUGCGGUUGGUGGUGAUGUCGGACACUGCAGGUCUUCCAGAGUGGUAGACGUGCCGUUGGGUAGGCUUUUCUGGCUUUGCCCUCCCAGCUGCUCCAAGCCAGGAUGGAGGAGGAGGACAAGGAAGAGUCACCUGUGGUAAACUGGAGCCUGCAUAUGGCUCUGCAGCUGGUCUCAC